AAUUUUAUUUUAAACCAACUUUGUUCAAACCCCCUUAAGUAACGAAUACAAUACAAGCCACUCAUAUGUUGACAAUUUCAGUGUUAGCAUUUCAGAAAUAAUCAAAUAGUUUAUUAAGUCAAGCUCUGCAACCUUCAAUCUCAUUAGUUUUACAACAUUUACAAUCAGAUUGUUGUAACAACUGCACAAAUCACAGUUGUGGUAUGUGGUCUUAUGGUGGUCUCCUCUCUUUUAUAGAACGGAGAUGCCCAAAGCAGAAGAAUAGACAGAGGGAAUUCACUCCCUAGUAUGCUGGAACAAAAGAUUUACCCAUAUGAGAUGCUCAUUGUGACACACAGAGGCAGAAACAAGCUCCCUCCUGGUGUAGACAGGACAAGACUGGAGAGGCACCUGUCACCUGAGGAAUUCCAG
This is a long non-coding RNA of Sinocyclocheilus rhinocerous, 411 nucleotides long. RefSeq lists it as uncharacterized. The record is from RefSeq and is a predicted model, not a curated record. The transcript has 3 exons. Lineage: Eukaryota; Metazoa; Chordata; Actinopteri; Cypriniformes; Cyprinidae.